GACGGACGCUGGCGGCGUGCUUAACACAUGCAAGUCGAGCGAUGAAGCCCCUUCGGGGAUGGAUUAGCGGCGGACGGGUGAGUAACACGUGGGUAACCUGCCUCAAAGAGGGGGAUAGCCUCCCGAAAGGGAGAUUAAUACCGCAUAACAUUAGUUUUUCGCAUGGAGAACUAAUUAAAGGAGUAAUCCGCGUUGAGAUGGACCCGCGGCGCAUUAGGUAGUUGGUGAGGUAACGGCUCACCAAGGCGACGAUGCGUAGCCGACCUGAGAGGGUGAGCGGCCACAUUGGAACUGAGACACGGUCCAGACUCCUACGGGAGGAAGCAGUGGGGAAUAUUGCACAAUGGGCGAAAGCCUGAUGCAGCAACGCCGCGUGAGUGAUGAAGGCCUUCGGGUUGUAAAGCUCUGUCUUUUGGGACGAUAAUGACGGUACCAAAGGAGGAAGCCACGGCUAACUACGUGCCAGCCGCCGCCGUAA
Molecule: ribosomal RNA, 478 nt
Filed under: uncultured bacterium
Lineage: Bacteria
Description: partial 16S ribosomal RNA
Rfam family: Bacterial small subunit ribosomal RNA
Source: RNAcentral